AAAGGAAAAAUCGUAUGCAUUUUUGCGACUCUAUUGAUCAUUGCAUUAAAUUUCUUACGCAGAUGUCCAGUUGGUUGCAUGUGUGUUGGCUCCCAUUCUACUUUAUAUCUUUCACCUUGUUUGGGGUGAUCUUCCGGAUGAUCUAAGUUUCUACCUCUUCUGUUUGGUAGACUCAAUUCUGAAAUAAAAACUAAUGAGUCAAUAAAUACUCAUAAAUCAAUCAAUUAUAUAAUGAGUCAAUUAGUUAGUUACCAUCAUUAUCUCUGAGGUCCGAGUCGGAGUCGGAAUUAGAUUGACUCAUUGCUGAUGGUACUUGAGUAGUUGGAGUACUCGUACCUUGAGGAGUUGGAGUUUUAAUUUGAUUUGGAGUUGGAGUUGGAUUACUCGAACCUUGAGGAGUUGGAGUUGGAAUUUGAGGAGUUGAAGUACUUGGAGUCGAAGUUGCAGUCGGAACAUGAGUACUUGCAGAAGGUUCUUCAUGGUCGACAGAACUUCGUGUAAGUCGUUGUUUUUUACUAGCCAAUACUUUUUGGGUGCCAUUUAUAAUCUGCGAACAAAACAAAAUAUUCAGCACUUAAAAUCAAUAAAAACAGAAAAAUACUUAAAUUACAAAAUUACUCACAAAUAAUAUAUAAGCAAUCCAUAAUUAGGCACUACAAAUCUCGAGGUGGCCUUUUCAAUACAACACUCCAAUCUAAUUUUUUAGGAUCAUCCACAUAGAAACAUUGUUGUGCUUGUGCUGCCAAGAUAAAUGGUUCGUCUUGGUGUUUUAAUCGUUUAGUGUUUAUAGAUAUAAUACCAAACGUAUCAACUUGUAUUCCAUUUGUAGAUUGGCCAUCAAACCAAUUACAAUGAAAGAGUGUUUCUACAUGAUUUGGUCCAUAUUGUAGUUCAACAACAUAAUUUAAUCUUCCAUAAUAGUUUUGUCGAUUCACUAUUGGGUUUACAUCUCUAACACUUAAAUAACAUGAUGUCUCGGCCGACACUAAAAUCCCAUCAUUUUGAGUCUUUAGUUUCACCGAACUCGACGUACAAAGAAACUUAAUACCAUUCAUUCUAUAUUUUCAAAUCUAAAUUAGAUCAUAGACUUUGAACAAACUAUAUAAUAUUUUCAAUAAAAACUCUUUCCGAAUUAAAAAGAUAACAAAUUAAUUCUUAAUAAUAAACUCUAAAUUUGAACAAACAUAUAUAUUACAUCAAACACUGAAAAAUAUAUCAUCAAAUCACUUGAUUUAAAACGUUUGAACUUACCUGUUUUAUACUUUUGAGAAAAUUAAUCCUGGAAAUAUAAGGUCAGAACUAGCCGAUAUAUAUGGAGAUAUGAGCUACUUUGAUGAUCAAAGAUAUGAGCUACUUUGCUGAAUUAGUUGGACAGUUCGUCGUGACUGGGAAAGAAAGAGAUGGAAGAAAUCCAUUAGAUCUAAGAAUUAAUAAUUAAUAUAUGUUGCUCUGCAGGACAUCUAAGAAUUAAUAAUUACUUUAAAAAAAGUAAUGAAA
RNAcentral lists this long non-coding RNA (1497 nucleotides) under Zostera marina. RNAcentral's name for it is "long non-coding RNA (ZMAR_LNC003376)". The record is from RNAcentral. Lineage: Eukaryota; Viridiplantae; Streptophyta; Magnoliopsida; Alismatales; Zosteraceae.